RNAcentral lists this ribosomal RNA (301 nucleotides) under uncultured Thiovirga sp. RNAcentral describes it as "bacterial SSU rRNA". It matches the Rfam family "Bacterial small subunit ribosomal RNA", at positions 1078 to 1382 of the family's 1533-position model. The record is from RNAcentral. Lineage: Bacteria; Pseudomonadati; Pseudomonadota; Gammaproteobacteria; Chromatiales; Halothiobacillaceae.
GGUUAAGUCCGCACGAGCGCAACCCUUGUCCUUAGUUACCAUCAUUAAGUUGGGGACUCUAAGGAGACUGCCGGUGAUAAACCGGAGGAAGGUGGGGACGACGUCAAGUCAUCAUGGCCCUUAUGACCGGGGCUACACACGUACUACAAUGGUCGGUACAGACGGUCGCAAGCUCGCGAGAGUAAGCUAAUCCGAGAAAACCGAUCGUAGUCCGGAUCGCAGUCUGCAACUCGACUGCGUGAAGUCGGAAUCGCUAGUAAUCGCAAAUCAGAAUGUUGCGGUGAAUACGUUCCCGGACCUU